CAGUAUUAGGCUCAACCAGGGCAUCAUCUGCAUCAACCUCUGUAGCAGCGGGUGUCAGCACUCCUGGAGAAAAAGGCACUGGAGCCACAAGUUCUGGAGUUACAACUAGACAAAUAUCCACUGAUGAGGAGGGCAGCACACCCAGAGGACAAGCAACUAGAACCACAAGUCCAGGUACCUCAGGUUCAACAGAGGGAUCUGUGGAAACCUCUACAGUAGCUGGCAAAGGAAGCUCACCUGGAACAUCAGGCACUGAACCUGCCAGCACUGUUACAGCAGCAG
Long non-coding RNA from Chionomys nivalis (European snow vole), 282 nucleotides. RefSeq lists it as uncharacterized. NCBI's taxonomy places the organism in Eukaryota, Metazoa, Chordata, Mammalia, Rodentia, Cricetidae. The transcript is spliced from 3 exons. The record is from RefSeq and is a predicted model, not a curated record.